GACGAACGCUGGCGGCGUGCUUAACACAUGCAAGUCGAACGAUGAACCCGGAGCUUGCUCCGGUGGAUUAGCGGCGAACGGGUGAGUAACACGUGAGUAACCUGCCCUUGACUCUGGGAUAACUGCGGGAAACUGUAGCUAAUACCGGAUACGACCCUCGGCGGCAUCGCCAGGGGGUGGAAAGAAUUUCGGUCAAGGAUGGACUAGCGGCCUAUCAGCUAGUUGGUGUGGUAACGGCUCACCAAGGCGACGACGGGUAGCCGGCCUGAGAGGGUGACCGGCCACACUGGGACUGAGACACGGCCCAGACUCCUACGGGAGGCAGCAGUGGGGAAUAUUGCACAAUGGGCGCAAGCCUGAUGCAGCAACGCCGCGUGAGGGAUGACGGCCUUCGGGUUGUAAACCUCUUUUAGUAGGGAAGAAGCGAAAGUGACGGUACCUGCAGAAAAAGCACCGGCUAACUACGUGCCAGCAGCCGCCGUAA
This 484-nucleotide ribosomal RNA is filed under the name uncultured bacterium. RNAcentral describes it as "partial 16S ribosomal RNA". It matches the Rfam family "Bacterial small subunit ribosomal RNA", at positions 28 to 523 of the family's 1533-position model. The record is from RNAcentral.